ACGCGCGAGCGAGCACGCCAGGCAGAAGGAGCGGACGACAGAGAAGGGCCGGAGGUCACCGGAAGCCCAGGGCAUGCCGGGCUAGACCCGCGGCUGUGCCCGCCCCUAGCGAGCGUGUUGGGGAGAAUCACUUCCGGGGAAGAAGGCCGGGCCUGAGCCGGGUGUUCUGGGUGGCAUUUCCCUUGUGCCUGGCGCCUGCUUAGAAUCAUUUGGAAGGUCGUAGGUGACGGCUGACCACUCCUCCUUCUCCAGGGUGGACGGACCGGUGGCACUGUCGCCAGUGGAGCGAGGAGGGGUGCUGUACACAGCGAGAUUGGGGUGCGCAGGGAUCAGCGGAGGGACAGCUCUCAGGGGCGUUGUGAGUGGGCGGGAGUGCAGAAGAAAUAUAAAGGGAAUUGGCCGGCAGGAACGGUGGGGCCGGCCGCCCAGUCGGUUGGUAGGGACCCGUUAUGAGGUUGUGGCUACCUUGGUGCCUGUUAAAAACCUAUCACUGUGAGUCGGGCGGUGGUGGUGAACGCCUUUAAUCCCAGCACUCAGGAGGAAAAGGCAGGCGGAUCUCCGUGAGUCCGAGGCCAGCCUGCACAGAGUGAGUUCCAGGACAGGCUCCAAAGCUACAGAGAAACCCUGUCUCGAAAAAACAAACAAACAAACAAAAAAGACUAAAACUAUGAGAUGAAAAGAAAGUGUUUCUGUCCUGUUUGGGACAUAACGUGCUGCUGCAGUCCUGUUCCUGUACCUAUGCCUGGACCGUGAAAUCCCGCAGCAGCAGAUCCAGCCAGCAGUGACUGAAAGCCCUGAAACCAUGAGCCCAGGAAUGUUACGCAAUGCAAGUCAACGGCUUGACUGUUAGGAGUGGAGGAAGAGACCCUUCUCCCUAUGAUAUGUUCUUUCUCAUCUUGCACCUUCUAAGAGGAAGCACAGUUUGAGAUAGAGAUCUUAUGAGUGGGUUAGUAUACAUUGCAUUAGUCAUUUCUCCAUUGCUGUGGUAAAACACCAUUGCCAAGGCAACUUCCAGUUCUAGAAGGGUAGCGUUUAUGAUGGUGGAAUGAGGGCAUGGGGGUAGAUGGCUGGAGCAGCAGCUGAGAGAUCCCAUCUUGAUCCUUAGGAAGGAGGUGGAGAGCAUGUUGGGAAAGGUGAAAGUCUUUUGAAAGCUCAAAGCCUCCCACCACCUGCAGCUGGGUGACAUGCUUCCUAAUUCUUCCCAAACAGUUCCACCAACCAAGUAUUCAAACAUGUGAAUCUACGAGGGCUCAUUCUCAUUCUAACUACCACACACAAUUGUUACUUUCGUGUACCAACUUGGUUGGCCAUGAGUUACUCA
This is a long non-coding RNA of Myodes glareolus (Bank vole), 1321 nucleotides long. RefSeq lists it as uncharacterized. Lineage: Eukaryota; Metazoa; Chordata; Mammalia; Rodentia; Cricetidae. The record is from RefSeq and is a predicted model, not a curated record.